CCUACGGGAGGCAGCAGUAGGGAAUAUUGCUCAAUGGGGGAAACCCUGAAGCAGCAACGCCGCGUGGAGGAUGAAGGUUUUCGGAUUGUAAACCCCUUUUGUUAGGGAAGAUAAUGACGGUAUCUAACGAAUAAGCACCGGCUAACUCCGUGCCAGCAGCCGCGGUAAUACGGAGGGUGCAAGCGUUACUCGGAAUCACUGGGCGUAAAGGGGGCGUAGGCGGGAUAGCAAGUCAGAUGUGAAAUCCUAGGGCUUAACCACAGAACUGCUGUUGAAACUGGUAUGCUAGAGUAUGGGAGGGGUAGGUGGAAUUCUUGGUGUAGGGGUAAAAUGCGUAGAGAUCAAGAGGAAUACUGAUUGCGAAGGCGGCCUGCUGGAACAUAACUGACGCUGAGGCGCGAAAGCGUGGGGAGCAAACAGGAUUAGAUACCCCGGUAGUC
RNAcentral lists this ribosomal RNA (440 nucleotides) under uncultured bacterium. Its description in RNAcentral is "partial 16S ribosomal RNA". It matches the Rfam family "Bacterial small subunit ribosomal RNA", at positions 338 to 795 of the family's 1533-position model. The record is from RNAcentral.